This 253-nucleotide ribosomal RNA is filed under the name uncultured bacterium. RNAcentral describes it as "partial 16S ribosomal RNA". It matches the Rfam family "Bacterial small subunit ribosomal RNA", at positions 524 to 776 of the family's 1533-position model. The record is from RNAcentral.
UACGUAGGGUGCAAGCGUUAAUCGGAAUUACUGGGCGUAAAGCGGACGCAGGCGGCUAUGUAAGACAGGUGUGAAAUCCCCGGGCCUAACCUGGGAACUGCAUUUGUGACUGCAUAGCUAGAGUCCGUCAGAGGGGGGUGGAAUUCCACGUGUAGCAGUGAAAUGCGUAGAGAUGUGGAGGAACACCGAUGGCGAAGGCAGCCCCCUGGGAUGAGACUGACGCUCAUGUACGAAAGCGUGGGGAGCAAACAGG